GCUGGGUGUGGUGGAGUAUGCCUGUAAUCCCAGUGACAGUGCCUUGGGAGGCAGAAGCAGGAAGAUCAUGAGUUUGAGACCAGCACUGGCAAUUUAGCAAGAUCCUGUUUCAA
RNAcentral lists this small RNA (113 nucleotides) under Marmota monax (woodchuck). Lineage: Eukaryota; Metazoa; Chordata; Mammalia; Rodentia; Sciuridae. The record is from RNAcentral.